CAGUAGCCACGGUAAUACGUAGGUGGCAAGCGUUGUCCGGAUUUAUUGGGCGUAAAGCGAGCGCAGGCGGUUUCUUAAGUCUGAUGUGAAAGCCCCCGGCUCAACCGGGGAGGGUCAUUGGAAACUGGGAGACUUGAGUGCAGAAGAGGAGAGUGGAAUUCCAUGUGUAGCGGUGAAAUGCGUAGAUAUAUGGAGGAACACCAGUGGCGAAGGCGGCUCUCUGGUCUGUAACUGACGCUGAGGCUCGAAAGCGUGGGGAGCGAACAGGAUUAGAUACCCGAGUAGUCCCUGUCUCUUAUAC
RNAcentral lists this ribosomal RNA (301 nucleotides) under uncultured bacterium. RNAcentral's name for it is "partial 16S ribosomal RNA". It matches the Rfam family "Bacterial small subunit ribosomal RNA", at positions 509 to 807 of the family's 1533-position model. The record is from RNAcentral.